Molecule: long non-coding RNA, 534 nt
Organism: Marmota flaviventris (yellow-bellied marmot)
Lineage: Eukaryota; Metazoa; Chordata; Mammalia; Rodentia; Sciuridae
Source: RefSeq, a predicted model, not a curated record
GGAAGAAGAUGGGCACUCUAACCCAAGGAGAGGAACAAGCCUCAGAAGAAAUUAACCCUGCUGACACCUUCAUCUCAGACUUCUGACUUCCAGAUCAAGAUGGAAGAAUUUCUCUGUGCACAUGUAUGAGACAGCCCUUUUUUGAUAUCAGGAAGUGGAAUCACCAGUAAAACAAAAUUCUUGAAGAAUUUUUCAGACCAUCUACUGAGAAACAGAGACCUGGAAAGUGGGUUGACUGGUUCAAGAUCAUGCAACCAGGAGUCCUUUAAAAGUAAAGAGCUUUCCUACUGGUCAGAGAAAGAAAGACAGAGACAUGCUCUGGCUGACCUGGAAGAAUGCAAAGCCCCAGAAUGUGGCAAAGUCUAUGGAUGCCACUGGAAGGAAUCUGAAAGAACAACCUGAGACUAUUAAGAGACAUGAGCAACACCCAGCUGACAACCAGCAAGGAAAUGGACAUUUCAACAGGGGAACUACUAGGGAAUGAUAUUGGCCAAAUUAUAGUCUAAUAUUAUGUGCAUGUAUGAAUAUGUUACA